CGGAUUUUUCGUGUCCCCAUCGUCUAGAGGCCUAGGACACUGCCCUUUCACGGCUGUAACAGGGGUUCGAAUCCCCUUGGGGACGCCAAUCCGAUAAUGAGUGAAAGACAUUAUCAUGAAUAUCUUAAAGAUGAUUCCUCGGAGUCAUGUUUACGAUAUUGCUCUUUAACAAUCUGGAACAAGCUGAAAAUUGAAACAUGACAGCUGAACAUACAUGACGACCUUCGGGUGUGUCGUGGUGAAUCAGUCUGUCAAUGAGUCUCUCAAAUAAUCGCAGC
Molecule: unclassified non-coding RNA, 278 nt
Filed under: Pectobacterium brasiliense
Lineage: Bacteria; Pseudomonadati; Pseudomonadota; Gammaproteobacteria; Enterobacterales; Pectobacteriaceae
Description: partial 16S-23S ribosomal RNA intergenic spacer
Rfam family: tRNA (bases 13-85)
Source: RNAcentral